GAUAAACGCUGGCGGCGUGCCUAACACAUGCAAGUCGAACGAUCCCGCAAGGGAGAGUGGCGGAAGGGUGAGUAACACGUGGGAAUCUACCUCCUCGCAGGGAACAACCUCUCGAAAGAGAGGCUAAUACCCAAAAGGGUCAGAAAUGAUCAGAGUCGAGAGGCGUGAGGAGAGGAGCCCGCGGCCCAUCAGCUAGUUGGUGAGGUAAUGGCUUACCAAGGCUACGACGGGUAGGGGAUCUGAGAGGAUGUCCCCCACACUGGAACUGAAACACGGUCCAGACGCCUACGGGUGGCAGCAGUGAGGAAUAUUGGACAAUGGGCGAAAGCCCGAUCCAGCAACGCCGCGUGGAGGAUGAAGGCCUUCGGGUCGUAAACUUCUUUAGAGGGAGACGAGAAAGGACGGUAUCCCUAGAAUAAGCGACGGCAAACUACGUGCCAGCAGCCGCGGU
Molecule: ribosomal RNA, 451 nt
Filed under: uncultured bacterium
Lineage: Bacteria
Description: bacterial SSU rRNA
Rfam family: Bacterial small subunit ribosomal RNA
Source: RNAcentral